RNAcentral lists this ribosomal RNA (254 nucleotides) under uncultured bacterium. Its description in RNAcentral is "partial 16S ribosomal RNA". It matches the Rfam family "Bacterial small subunit ribosomal RNA", at positions 524 to 777 of the family's 1533-position model. The record is from RNAcentral.
UACGUAGGGUGCGAGCGUUGUCCGGAAUUACUGGGCGUAAAGAGUUCGUAGGCGGUUUGUCGCGUCGUUCGUGAAAACUUGGGGCUUAACUCCAAGCGUGCGGGCGAUACGGGCAGACUUGAGUACUACAGGGGAGACUGGAAUUCCUGGUGUAGCAGUGAAAUGCGUAGAUAUCAGGAGGAACACCGGUGGCGAAGGCGGGUCUCUGGGCCGAUAUUGACGCUGAGGAGCGAAAGCGUGGGGAGCGAACAGGA